ACCCCCCCCCCCCCCCACUGAAGAGAUAGAGCUUUCCUUUUCGGGGACAAAGUGACAGAAUGGUGCAUGGGUUGUCGUCAGCUCGUGUCGUGAGAAUGUUGGGUUAAGUCCCGCAACGAGCGCAACCCUUAUUGUUAGUUGCCAUCAUUUAGUUGGGCACUCUAGCGAGACUGCCGGUGACAAACCGGAGGAAGGUGGGGAUGACGUCAAAUCAUCAUGCCCCUUAUGACCUGGGCUACACACGUGCUACAAUGGGAAGUACAACGAGUCGCUAGACCGCGAGGUCAUGCAAAUCUCUUAAAGCUUCUCUCAGUUCGGAUUGCAGGCUGCAACUCGCCUGCAUGAAGCCGGA
RNAcentral lists this ribosomal RNA (352 nucleotides) under Enterococcus faecalis. Its description in RNAcentral is "partial 16S ribosomal RNA". It matches the Rfam family "Bacterial small subunit ribosomal RNA", at positions 984 to 1330 of the family's 1533-position model. Lineage: Bacteria; Bacillati; Bacillota; Bacilli; Lactobacillales; Enterococcaceae. The record is from RNAcentral.